This is a long non-coding RNA of Lycium barbarum (goji berry), 1418 nucleotides long. RefSeq lists it as uncharacterized. The record is from RefSeq and is a predicted model, not a curated record. The transcript has 2 exons. NCBI's taxonomy places the organism in Eukaryota, Viridiplantae, Streptophyta, Magnoliopsida, Solanales, Solanaceae.
UAUAAAUAUAGAAAUGUGUCAAUAUUUUUCGGAUAAACUAAUAAGAAAAGUAAGACAAUUUGUUUUGGGACGGAAGGAGUAAUAACUAAAGCUCAUAAAUAAUCUUUACAUAAAAUAAUACAUAUAUUCCAUCAUAACUAAUCUUUACAUUAUUAAUACAUGCAUAACCCUGACCACCUACCGAACAACCCCGAGUGUAUAAAAUAUUGAGAAAAUUACACUUUAUGAUAAUUGAAGCAACAAUGCUAUCAAAAUUGACCUACUUUUUAAAUUCUUACAAAAAUGAUCCAAACUUUUCUCUUUCUGCUCUCUCUCUUUGCCUCUAUAUAUGUUUAUAUAUGUUGAUAUAAAUGUCUGUAUAUGUCUAUAAAUAUUUAUAUAUUUUAGAUUAUUUUUUAUAAUGUAAAUUUUGAGCUUUCUUUUUUAAUGUAAAUGAUCAACUUAUAUAUUUGUGAAAUUUUCCCUAAAAUUAAAGGCCAGAUACUCAUAUAAAACGACAAAAAAUAAAGGGUUGCCAUAAUGGUAUCCAGCUAUUUAAGCCAUAAAAUUAGGAUUAAAAAAUCACCGGCCACGGCUUACUAGAUUGCUGUUUCCGUGUACGCAAUGCAGCAUCUUCCAUUCCCUUUCAUUCAUUUUCAUUUCACUUCCCCUGGGAGAACUUAAAACCAUUUUUCAAUUUUCAUUCCACCGACACCAUAAAGUUCUGUUAUUCCCUUUACCUCUCCAUAUCCGAGAGAGGGGAAAAUACGUCGAGGAAAUAGAAAAGAAUAUGCAGAGGAUACGAGAUCAACGGUCAAGAUCAUCAAGAAACAUAACAAUUCAUGGGUUAGCACAAUCUGGUGAUGUUGUUGCAUUCAAAAAGUUGCUUGAUGAGAACCCUUCUCUUCUCAAUGAACGCAACCCUGUUAAGCAGCACAACAAGCAACCAUGCGAGCCAUCUCGUUAUGGUUAUAAUCAUUACCUAGCCGACGAUCAACAAGGGCAUCAAACUUUUCAUCUUCUAAAGCUUGUGUGAGCAAUGGCCGUGCCUGAAACAAACAGAAUAUAAAUCAAAACUGUAGAACUAGCGGAGGGAAAUUAAAGACGGGCCCACACGUCUGCAUAAUUACUACUCACCCAGUCCACCAAACUAUUUUCUAUGUAUGACUGAUUGGAAUCAACAGGCCGACAUCCAGUUAUCAACUCGAGAAGCAUUACACCAAAGGAGAAUACAUCUGAUUUAUCCGUAAGUUUUCCUGAAGACGCAUAUUCUGGAGCCAAAUACCUAGGAUUGGCAAUAACGAAGAAACACGUCAAGUCUACCUGAUGAUCAAAUGGAAAAGAAGCAGCAAACCAAAAUAAUAGCAAGCAAAUGUAUAUUUUUGUAUAUUAAUUGUUAUAUACAAAUAAUAUACAUAUCUCAUACAUAAUUAUAUGUA